GUUUAAAUAGCUUAAAUAAAGCGCAAUAUUGAAGAUAUUGAGAUAAGAUUGGAUCUUUUUAAACA
Molecule: transfer RNA, 65 nt
Filed under: Micronecta sahlbergii
Lineage: Eukaryota; Metazoa; Arthropoda; Insecta; Hemiptera; Micronectidae
Description: tRNA-Phe
Source: RNAcentral